RNAcentral lists this unclassified non-coding RNA (327 nucleotides) under Hevea brasiliensis (rubber tree). The record is from RNAcentral. Lineage: Eukaryota; Viridiplantae; Streptophyta; Magnoliopsida; Malpighiales; Euphorbiaceae.
AGAAGGCACACAUAUUUCAUACUCUAGAUCUGGUAUGGAUCACAAAUUCCAAUGUGUGAGGAUGUUUUGAAUGGGAUGAGAACUUUGAUGUUUCCAGCCAUGAACCUGAGGAUUUUGAGUCGAUUCUGAUGUUGGAGUAUCUAAUGUUUCUCUCUCUGUUUCUUUUGGUAUAUUUUCAAUUUCUUGAGGAUUUGUCUUAUUUGUGGUAUUAUCCUCAUCUGAUUGUAAAUCUUCCAAUGGUUUUGGAGGAUAUUCAACAGGAUUAUUCAAUUCUUCUACUGUGCUUUCAUCAAAAAAACAUGCAUACUUUCUUCCACUUGAUUUGUU